GCGCAGACAGGUGUCUACAGAGUGGAAAGAAGUUGUUGCAUCUGAUAAUUCUUCAAUCGUGUAGCAGCAACUGCAGCUUACAUGGAAUGAGGAUUAUCGGAUUCAUCUACACUCACUGAUCAUCCAAGGUGAAUUGAUGACCUCAAGCAAAUGGAUGUUGUUGUCAUCUGAAGAGAAGGUUGUCCUGGGCCCAUGUUUAGAGGCAUUUGGGGCAUAUCAGACACAUAUCAGAAUCAAGCUGCAUGCACACUUGAGUUUAUUCAGAGAGAAGUUGUGGGCAUCAGUCCGGAAACUGGAUCAAAAAUUUGCUGCUGGAAUGUGAGACAAAUAAAGGCAUGGAAUGAACCCAAAUGUAUGAACACUGCUACGAAAACUAAUGGACUUUGAAUGGCUUGCCAGUUAAUUCCAAUGGAAUUGAAGAAGAGACUCUGACAAGAUUUUCAAGUUUGUGUUUAAUUUAAAAGUUUAUCUUCAUAGAUAAGCAAUUUAAAGGUAGGCACAGUUAAAACUAUUUCUUGUGUGUUUGUUUAAACUGUAAAUUUAUGACUGAAGUUUGGUCACUAUGUAGUAAUGUGUUCCUUUGUGGUUAAUUAAAUGCUGCAGUGCUUAGUGGUAUUCGUUGUUGUAUUUCCAAGGCUAAAGCCUUAUUUUGUGAUCUGCAUUGUAUUGGAGAGUUUUGGAAACUAAUACUUAUUAUCUUAAUGCAUUGGAAAGUUUUGGACUAUUGAACAAUAAAUGCAUUUGGCUACA
Molecule: long non-coding RNA, 750 nt
Organism: Paramisgurnus dabryanus
Lineage: Eukaryota; Metazoa; Chordata; Actinopteri; Cypriniformes; Cobitidae
Source: RefSeq, a predicted model, not a curated record